UUGCUUCAGCAGCACAUAUACUAAAAUUGGAAUGAUACAGAGAUUAGCAUGGCCCCUGUUUAAGGAUGACAUGCAAAUUCGUGACAUGUUCCAUAUUUUU
RNAcentral lists this small nuclear RNA (100 nucleotides) under Microcebus murinus (gray mouse lemur). Lineage: Eukaryota; Metazoa; Chordata; Mammalia; Primates; Cheirogaleidae. The record is from RNAcentral.